CUAUUCGGUGCUAUUUCAUCCAACAAUUGGAAUUAUAUUUGUGAUUGGCAGUGCUUGUGUUUGUUCGUGAAUCUGUUCCAAGUAGCUGCUGCCAUGCCUUUCAAUUGGCGGGCAGAGCUUUCAGCCCAAUCAAAUGUGUCAUCAGUAGCACAGUUGUAUUCUCCCACACUUGCAUUCACAUAAAGAGUAUUCGCAGAUACGGAAUUUUAGC
This 211-nucleotide long non-coding RNA is filed under the name Medicago truncatula (barrel medic). Its description in RNAcentral is "long non-coding RNA (MTRU_LNC004205)". Lineage: Eukaryota; Viridiplantae; Streptophyta; Magnoliopsida; Fabales; Fabaceae. The record is from RNAcentral.